CCGAGUUGCAAAACUCCAAACCCAUGUGAACAUACCUCGUGUUGCCUCGGCGGCGAGCGAAGUGCCCGGUAGGUGCCUACCCGGCACCUACCCUGGAGCUACCCUGUAGCUACCUACCCUGUAGGACUGGCGCAUCCGCCGAAGGACCACUCAAACUCUUAUUUCUGUGUGGCACGUCUGAGUAAUUAUAUUUAAUAAGUCA
This 202-nucleotide unclassified non-coding RNA is filed under the name uncultured Sordariomycetes. Its description in RNAcentral is "sequence contains ITS1". The record is from RNAcentral. Lineage: Eukaryota; Fungi; Ascomycota; Sordariomycetes.